This is a long non-coding RNA of Cyprinus carpio carpio, 1679 nucleotides long. NCBI's taxonomy places the organism in Eukaryota, Metazoa, Chordata, Actinopteri, Cypriniformes, Cyprinidae. The record is from Ensembl.
GUUCAGAGUUAUCUCGUUUUUAAUAAUGUUCUCAAAAAAAGAAAAAAGAAAAGAAAAAAAGGAAACUUUUUAUUUCUAAAAUUUUAUUUGGACGUUUGUCUAACAUUUUUAAACUGUUACUGUGUUUUUCAGAACGUUCACAGAACACUAAAAGGAUAGUUCACCCAAAAAGGAAAAUUAUAUAAUUUCCUCACUAUUUCCUCGACCAAACUGUUGACGGUAGCCAUUGACUUUCAUAGUGUGGAAAACAAUGCUAUGAAAGUAAAUGGCUACCGUCAACAGUUUGGCUACCGACAUUCUUCAGAAUAUCUUCUUAUGUGUUCAACAGAAGCAAUCAAUUCAGGUUUGGAACAAGUGGAGGGUGAUUAAAUGGUGACAGAUUUUUCAUUUUUGGGUGAACUGUCCCUUUAAAAAGUAACAUUCCAUAUUGAUUGCAAAACAAUAAAAAGGAAUGUUCCCUUAACUAAAUAUAAAAUUUGUAAACAUUUAAAAACUGCACUUCAGAGAACAUUCAGAAAUAAGGUAUUUAUAACUUAAUGGGAAAAUCCUUAAAAGUGAGCUGGGAUCGUCCCACGCAUGCAGCGUUUCUCAUCACCUCGUGUUGAUUCAGUAAAUACAUUUCAUUUUUCAGUAUCAAUUACCCAUAAACAUUUUAUAUUAUACAAAUCAUACAAAAAAAAUAAUUUGGAUGAAUCAAUAAAAUUUGAAAAUUGUAUGCUAUUAGUACACAAACUUGUGCAUUAAUAAUACUGUAAGCUUGUGUCAGAAAACUUUAUAAUGCAUUUACUAGCUUUUGAUUUAUUUCAUGGUCUAUAAAAGUUCAUUUUUCAGUAUGAAUUACCCAUAAACAUUUUAUAGCAUAUAAGAAAAGCAUCUAUAUAGAAAGUUAAAUAAUGUAUAUUGUAAUAAUUCAUUAUAUUUAGUUUUUUUUUAAUUCAAGUCCACUAUUUUGUAGUAUUUUUUUUAUUUUUUAUUUUAAAUAUUAUAAAAAAAUAACAAAUGAUAGAUAGAUAGAUAGAUAGAUAGAUAGAUAGAUAGAUAGAUAGAUAGAUAGAUAGAUAGAUUCAGUGAAGUGAUUUAUUUAAAAAAUCAGAGAAUAAAGAAUUUGAUACUUUCUAUAAUGUUACAAAUAUACAUAAUAACUUAAGUAAUAUUUUAAAAUGCGAAAUACUACAAAACACUAUAAAAUACUGGACUAUAUUUUAUAACUAUAUAUAAAUAUAAAUGAAAUAUUACAAUAAAUUUAAUCUAAGUUUUUUUUUUUUUUUUUAAUUGUAUGAUAUAAAAUGCUUUCAUUGUCCAUAAAAUAAAUCAAAGCCAGUUUACACACUAUAAAUGUUUCUGACACAAGCUUAUUAUUAGUGCACAAGGUUGUAGCUCAUGUCAAACAAUUUUCACACUUUAUUAGUAGAUCUAAAAAGAUUGGCUGUUAGAAAAAUUAAAAAGGUAGUAACACUUUACAACAAGGUUGCAUUUGUUAACAUUAAAUAAAUUAUAAUAAAAAAUAUUAAAAAGUAUAAUCUUAGUAGAUGUUGAUUCCAGCAUUCACUAAUACAUUAUUAAAAUCAAAAGUUGUAUCUUUUAAUGUUAUUUAAUGAACCUGAGCUAACAUGGAUUAACAAUGAACAGCUGUAUUUUAACGUUAAACGUUAACAAAGAUAAAUAAAUACUGUAACAGU